Molecule: transfer RNA, 87 nt
Filed under: Candidatus Parcubacteria bacterium
Lineage: Bacteria; Candidatus Parcubacteria
Description: tRNA-Ser
Rfam family: tRNA
About the family: Transfer RNA (tRNA) molecules are approximately 80 nucleotides in length.
Source: RNAcentral
GGAGAGGUGGCUGAGUGGUCUAAAGCGGCACGGUGCUAACGUGUUGGGAGCAAUCCCGCGUGGGUUCGAAUCCCACCCUCUCCGCCA